CUUGAACUAUAUGCAAAAAGGCCGAGACACACCCGAACUUUAGAAGGAUCCUAUUACCUCCCUGGACUAGUUAAAAUCGUAUUUUUGACAACCUUAGUGCUACGCGGUACACACGUGUGCCUACGUGGACCCUUUAGUGUGUUGUGCCACGUAUGUACCACGUAGGCACUAAGGUUUUCAAAAUAUGAUUUUAAUUAGUCCGGGGGGUAAUAGGACCUUCCUAAAGUUCGGAUGUUUCUCGGCCUUUUCGCAUAUAGUUCAAGGUGGUAAUAGAGCAUUUUCUCUUUAUU
Molecule: long non-coding RNA, 290 nt
Filed under: Capsicum annuum
Lineage: Eukaryota; Viridiplantae; Streptophyta; Magnoliopsida; Solanales; Solanaceae
Description: long non-coding RNA (CANN_LNC008717)
Source: RNAcentral